RNAcentral lists this long non-coding RNA (33751 nucleotides) under Solanum tuberosum (potato). RNAcentral's name for it is "long non-coding RNA (STUB_LNC006885)". The record is from RNAcentral. Lineage: Eukaryota; Viridiplantae; Streptophyta; Magnoliopsida; Solanales; Solanaceae.
CCAUCACCAUCACCUCCAUGCCCAUUAUCACCAGAGAGAUAUUCAACCAGAAGUAUGGACUCAUCUCCGGGAAUUUUCAAUCUUUUGGAUCAGGAUGUUCAGUUUCCGGCGAGAAUCAGAAAUCACAUUCAGCAAGCCACACCAGCUUUUGGACCACCACCGCCACGUCCGCCACCACCUCCACCACCUCGGUCUAAGAAUAUGGAAAGCCCCAAAACACCCUCACCUCCAUUUUCAAAGCCAGCAUUUAACCCUCCAGUUCUUGAAUCUCCUUUAAAACCCAUAGGAAUUGAGAGUCCAGUAUUGGUUUCUCCAAUGGAGUUGCCUUCUAUUUCGGAACAUAUUGAGAAGAAUGAUGAGAAAACUGAGGAACCCAAACCAAAGCUGAAAACUUUGCAUUGGGAUAAAGUGAGAGCAAGUUCGGAUCGCGAAAUGGUUUGGGAUCAACUGAAAUCAAGCUCAUUUAAGUAUGAUAAUCUGUAACUAUUGCCUUUUGUUUGUAUAAGUUGAAUAGAGCUGAUACUGAUUUAUUUGCAGGUUGAAUGAAGAGAUGAUAGAAACACUGUUUGUUGUAAAGACUCCAACUUUGAAUGCAAAUGACACAGCUAGACGUCUUGUUCCCUCACCGAGCCAAGAGAAUAGGGUACUUGAUCCAAAGAAGGCACAGAACAUUGCAAUUUUGCUGAGGGCCAUAAAUGUAACCACAGAGGAAAUAUGUGAAGCCCUUUUAGAAGGUAUUCGCAGUUCUUUGAAGAGUUUAACUUAAAUACAUCGAUAUUUAUGCUAUUAGGCUGACGUAAAAGAUAACUACGGUAAUCAUUGGGAUUUGUAGGCUGGAAAAUAAGAAAGGUUACCUAGUACAGUGGGUUAAAAUGCUUGGUAUUGUAGGAAUUCUUUACAUUUGGUGGUUUAUAUAAGUUAAAUCUCUCUCUGAAUUGAAAAUUAAGAGCUGAAAAAUGGAAUGAUGGAAGUGUCUGUUAGUAUUGAUCGAGGCAAAAUCAUGUAGUUUAUCGUGCUAAAAGUUAUGCUCCUUUGCUCCCAAGAAUUUCAGUACAUGGAUUUUGAAAUCAUGUAAAAAGUUUACCUUCACUCAAUGUUCUUUGUUGGUUUCAUCAAUAGGCAGAAGUUCAAGUGUAUGUAGAAGUUGUAAAGUGUUUGGAUUUAGGAGAAUAGACAGCAGUAACAAGUUACAUCUUCUAUUCAGGAAAUGCUGAAACUAUUGGAACUGAGCUCCUUGAGAUUUUAUUGAAGAUGGCUCCAUCCAAAGAGGAAGAACGUAAACUAAAAGAAUACAAAGAUGAUUCUCCGGUCAAGCUCGGACCAGCAGAGAAGUUUCUGAAAGCAGUGCUUGAUGUACCUUUUGCAUUCAAAAGGGUAGACGCUAUGCUGUAUAUAUCAAAUUUUGAUUAUGAGGUCGACUACCUCAGAAAGUCAUUUGAAACUCUAGAGGUAACUAUUUUAAGUCAUCGUCAACUCCUACUUGUUAUUGAUGAUCCAUUCACUAAAAAAGAAUUUUGAUUUAGAUCAGAAGUAAACUUGUGAAUUAUGUCUUUAAAAUGCUUUCCUACUACAGGCAGCAUGUGAAGAGUUGAGAAGUAGCAGAAUGUUCUUAAAGCUUCUGGAAGCCGUGUUGAAGACGGGUAACCGCAUGAAUGUUGGGACAAACAGGGGAGAUGCUCAUGCCUUCAAACUUGACACACUGCUAAAGCUUGUAGAUGUAAAGGGAGCAGAUGGGAAAACAACCCUUUUGCAUUUUGUGGUUCAGGAGAUUAUAAAAGGUGAAGGUACUCGUCUUUCCGGAGGAGAUCAGAACGAACAGUGUACCACUAAUGAUGACGCUAAGUACCGGAAACUUGGCCUUCAAGUUGUUUCCAACAUUACUUCAGAGCUUAUACAUGUUAAAAAUGCUGCUGCUAUGGAUUCAGAAGUGCUCCACAGCGAUGUUUUAAAGCUUUCUAAGGGGAUUGGAAACAUUACUGAGGUUGCAGGAUACAUUGAAGCCGUUGGAUCAGAGGAAAGCAGUACUAAAAAAUUCUCUGAGUCCAUGAACAGGUUUAUGGAAAUAGCAGAAGAGAAGAUCAUAAGGCUCCAAGCUCAAGAAGCAUUGGCCAUGUCACUGGUGAAGGAAAUAACCGAGUAUUUCCAUGGAGAUUCAGCUAGAGAAGAGGCUCACCCUUUCAGAACCUUCAUGGUGGUCAAAGACUUCCUAAUGAUUCUUGAUCGCGUUUGCAAGGAAGUUGGAAUGAUAAAUGAGAGAACAGUAGUUAGCUCCGCGCAUAAAUUUCCAGUUCCUGUUAAUCCAAAUCUACAACCUGUCACUAGCAGUUACACAGCUAAACGGCAGCAUAGUUCCUCUGAUGAUGAAUAUUUAUCUUCUUAGUAGUGUUAGUUGGUCAUAACAGGCAACUCCCUAGUUUUUUGCUUCUGGCCAAAACCAAUGUAAUCUACUAUAAAGGCCUUAUAGGAGUUUGCCUGAGACUGUACCACGAAUUUUCGAGUAUAAGUAACUCUAAGUUGUAUUUAUUAGAUCAUUUUGUAUAAGAUCUUGGAAAUUCUUUAUCCUUUUCAUAUAUAUAUAGCAAGAUUUAUCAUCACAUCCAAAAUAAUAGGAAGGUUCAAACCUACAUUGAUGGAUACAAUAACAACAUACACGAGGUCUGGGAGGGUAGAGUGUAUGCGGAUAUUAUAGAGAGGCUCAAGUAUUCUUUGUACUAAUCUAACUAUAUGGAAUAUAAAAUACAAAGUCUUCAAAUGUUUGGAACAUUUUACAGUCAGCUUUGAGUGAUGGAUUUUUUCCAACUUUGCAUUUUAUAAUUACUGGAAGAUGAGACUACACUGUUCAAGCAGUAAAUCUGAAAAGAGGAAAAAUACUGACUAACACCAAUCUGUAGAAAUCUCUUCACCAUUAAAAAUACAGAAAAAGAAGCACAAAUUACAUAGUUGGGUAGCUAUGAAUAAGGGACUUACAGUAGAAAUAGAAUGAUAUUAUAUAGAUAGUGAACCGUGGUAUUUGUACAGGAUAGAAAAUGAUCUAGUAAUUAUUGUAUCUUACUCGACCAUUAUCGAAGGGCUUCAUUUACUUAUUGAGCAACAAUGAGCUCGUCCAUUUGGAAUCCGCUAUCACUCUCAGGCAUCAUAAUGUCAUCAUCAGUUGUGAAAUGAUAUCGUUCUCCGAUGGCUCUCAGAAGCUGGUACAGUUCAAACAUUGUUGGCCUCUCCUUAGGAGCAGCAGCCAACACACAUCGACAAGCAACUUUAAGGACCUGGAAGAUCUCACUGUCAUAACCUUUACUAGACAAUGAAUGGUCAAUCGCAUCUUGAAGUUUAGAUUCACCAGAGAGUUGUGUGAUCCAUUCCACCAAAUUCCCCUUAAAGGUCUCGGGAGCUUUGGCGACAGAAGUUGGUGUCUCACCUGUAACUAACUCGAGAAGUACAACACCGAAACUGUACACAUCACCUUUUGGUGUAGCCAUGAGAGUUCGCGCGUACUCAGGUGCAACAUAACCAAAGUCCCCGAAUUCCCCAUUUACAAAGGUACUCAAAUGAGUGUCAACUGGAUUCAUGAGCCUAGCAAGUCCAAAAUCCGAUAUUUUAGGUUCAUAUUCCACAUCCAGCAAGAUGCAUUUAGAACUAAUAUUUCUGUGGAUGAUACGAGGAUUGCAGUUGUGGUGAAGCCAUGCAAAUCCUUUGGCUGCUCCAAUAGCGAUUUUCAUUCUCAUAGGCCACUCAAGAGUUUUUUCCCCUUCACUCACCGAAUGCAACCUAUCAUGCAAGGUGCCAUUUGGCAUAUCUUUGUAGACCAACAGCCUUUCUUUUUUCGCCAUGCAGAAACCUAAAAGAGGCACCAGGUUACGGUGCUUUACAUUUCCCAACGUAGCCAUCUCGGAUGUAAACUCUUUCUCUGAGUGUUGAGUAUUCUGCAACCUCUUAACCAUAAGUGAAGUGCCAUCAUCAAGUACUGCUUUGUAGAAUGUCCCGGUUCUUCCUGACCCAACAAUAUUGUUCUUGCUGAAGUUGUUGGUGGCCUUCAUGAGAUCACUUAGUCUCAUUUUUGAAGUAGAUUUCUCAAACAUUGAAAGCUGAAAAUAAGGCACUUUAAGUCAAUUAAGAAUGCUUGAGCAAGAGAAAACUCACACGAGCUUAUGGUGAAAAAUUCAUUAGUUAAAUGCUUAUAUUAAAACACGAAUUUAUGGUUCUAAAUAUGAUCGCAAUGCCACAGUAGAACCCGUAAACACAAACCACAACCCACUAGAAUUGAUUUAUGACCUAUCAACAAAGCACGAACAGAAUUCUCACCUGGAUUGCCUUGGAACCCUUGAUACUCUUCGCCCAUUUAUUCCCUUCAGGAUCAUCUUCCUUUUUCCUCUUCCUGGAUAUCUUUCUCAUAUAGAAGAACAUACCGAUGGUCAAUAAUACAGCGCCUAAAGUCACCCCACCAACAGCAGCACCGACAAUGAUUCCAGUAGGGGAUUUCUUAGCAUAACCCUCACAAAGAGCUAAUGGUGGUCCACACAGUCCGGCAUUAUUGGCAUAGCUCUCUGGGGGAAAAGUUGAAUUUAUGAAACGUGGAACUGGUCCAGUCAAUCGAUUGUUUGCUACAUUAAAAUUCUUGAGCCGACCAAGCAGGGCAAUUUCUGGAGGAAUUUGACCCGUAAACUGGUUGUUGUCAAGUCUAAGGCUAUUCAAAAAAGAGCAGUUUGCAAGAUUAACUGGGAUAUCCCCUGAUAGAUUGUUGGAUGAGAGAUCCAGCGUUACCAUAAAACCUAUAAUUUUGGAGAUAUCAUUUGGAAUACUUCCAUGGAGUUUGUUGCUCGAAAGAUCUAAUGAUGUAAUAGAGGUGCAAUUCUUAAGACCACGUGGAAACUUGCCCUUGAGACCCAUGUCAGGAAGACUGAUACUCAGAACCCUGGUUUCAUCAGGAUGCCAGCACUGAAUCCCAGCAAACUUGCAGAUGAAACCUUCGGUCUGAUUAUCGAACUUCCAUGUUGUGUUCAAGAACUUCAAUGGAUCUUCAAAUGAAUCUUUUAUAGAUUUCAGACAGUCAAUGUCGCUUUGAAGAGCAGAGCAAACAGCACAGCUCAAGACCAAGUAGAUCAAAAUAGCAGCAAAGGUAGUAAGAGCUCUGUUAUCCAAAGCCAUCUUGGUGAGAGGCCCAGUCAUAACCGCAACAAUCGAAGGUCCUAAUUAAGUAGUUGACUGAAACAUUUAAGAUCUCUAUAGACUAGUUUGCAACCCCGAAAAAUCCAUUGCAAGAACAAAUCCAAUUUCUCCCGAGUUAAGAAGCAAAAUGUAAGGCUGCAAGAAAAAAAUAAGAUGAUGAAUCAGUUUUAUCAAUCAGUCAAUGCUGCCUCACUUCCAAACUAGUAAAAAAAAAACUAUAUGAAUCUACGUUUCAUCCGCUCUAUUCGGACUCAUUUCAUAUCAACAUUAGAUAACUUUUCUUCUUAAGCGAACUAGUGAUUCUCCAGAAGUAGAGGUACUCAAAUCCCACAGUUACAGGACAACCAAAAUAAAGAUUGAAGGACAAGUCAGAUACAAGCAGAAAACUGUUCCUCACAGAUUUUAAUGGGAAAAACGGCAAACAAGGAAGCAAAAGAGACUUGGGAAGAGAAAAAAGCACAAUAACAGCAAUCCAAGAGAUGCACUUCCAUAAAACUAUCGUCAACAAAAGUAAAACUUCAUUCAAAAGAUGAUUUCACCUUAUCAUCUACAUUGACAACCAUAAAAGUUCACGCCUUUUACGUGGAAGUUGAAAAAAAAGAACACCCCUACUUGAUAUAAACAAAACACACGAUGGAAGUUGGUUUUAUCUGAACUUACAAAGCCACAAGCACAAACUUCACACCUCCAAGAAGGAAGCUGAUAAAAGCCCCCUUACUUGAUAUACAGGGAAUCCCAACAAGCAAGUCUAAUAGAACCCAGAAAAGGUUCUGAAAAUCAAACAACAAGAGAGCAAAUUCCUAUCCCAAAAAAAAUUAAUUGAAGUUGAGAGCUUUUUGACCAUGACCUUCAAAUUUUCAACAAAUAAUAAACCACUGUCCUUGUUCAAAGUACUCAAGAAGGCAGCCAAUGUAUUAAAGAAAUGGUUAGUAAUAAUUAGUUAAUCACUAAGGUCAACAACAACAACAACAACGGCAACAACAAACCUAGUGUAAUCCCACAGGUCGGGUCUAGGGAGGGUACUGCACAAACCUUACCCCUACCUUGAGAUGGUAGAGAGAUUGUUUCCGAGAUACAGAAUUUACUUGAUCUUCCACAUCCACAAGCACAAAAGUUCAGACCUUCAAAAGGAAAGUUCAAAAAAGAAAAAAGACCUCUACUUGAUAUAAGACACAAACCCCAUCUCACACAAUCCACAAAACCCAAAAAGGGUUCUUAAGAUCAAACAACAAAAGGCCAAAUUCAACUUCAAUUUCCAGAAAUACAAGUCCAGAGCUUUUCUAUGCAACUUUCAAAAUUAAACAAAUUUACAAAGUCCAUAUUCAAAGCAGCUACCAACACAAUUAAAAAAAAAUCAAUCUUUUUAUAGCAACUAGGCAAAAAUACCAAAAAAACUUCAAUUUCCAUAAAUUAAGUCCAGACCCUUUCUACACAACUUUCAAAAUUCAACAAAUUACCAAGUCCUUAGUCAAAGGCAAGCAACAACAUAAUAAAGAAACAAUUUUUAAUAAGAAAUUCUACCAAUAAACAAAUUGAGCAUAAAAAAUACCAAAAGAAGACCAAGAAAUUAUAGAUGCAAGAUACUUACAGCCCAGUUGAGGAUAUCAAAUGCUGGAUCUUGAUGGUCAAUUACAAAGAAGAAAAGGGGCAAAAAAAGAGAGUAUUUUUUUGAUGAUACAGUUUUUCUUUGGUCAAAGAAAGAAGGCUAACAGUGAGAACUAAAACUGAAAACUUGCAAAGAAAUUGAAAAAAAGAAAAAGAGUGUUAAACGGGGACAGGCGACGACCAGUUGCUUGACUUGAUAUUUCAUUUGUUAUUGGAAAAGUUUUUAGCUAGUGUGAAACCCAUCAUUAUUCUUUGAACCAAAAUAUAAUUCACUGAAAUACUGAAAUGGAUCACAUGAAUUGUGGUGCAUUGGUGAGAUUAUUUUAUUUUAAUUAGAACUUUUACAUUCGAGAUUUAAAUAUGAAGAAAAUCUUGUUAGGAGCAUCUUUUCGAAUGAAUCUUGCCGGGUAUUAAAAUUUCAAUAUAAACUUUCGACCCGCUAUAAUUUUUUUUUUUAAAAAGCAAGUACUGAAAUGAAAAUAUUGAAAGUGAAGAAAAAAACUUUAGAUGACUUGUGACUUUUAGACUCUUUUUUCCCCUUUUCACACCUCAAGCUAAUUGAUCGAGUUUACCUGACACAUUUUCUUUUUCAAUUUAUCUUAAGAUAAAAUAUUAUUGUGUUCGUUUUAGUUUGUUUGUUUUGUUUAAAUUCGACAUAAAUUUUAAGAUAGUUAGAAACUUUUUGAAUUUUAUCAUCUUAAAUUAAAAAAAAUAUGUUAAAUAUAUCAAAAAAAUAAUUUUAUGAUAUUAAACAUGUCACCUAGAAUGUUGAAAUUAAAGAGCUAAUAAAAAUAUAAUAAUUAUACUUUCUUUUUUAAAUGAACUAAAAAGAUAAGUAUGAUAAACAAAUUGAAAUGAUUCUAUAAUUGGAAAAUUUUAACUUUAUUAUUUUAUCUUAAUAAAAUGAUGAAUAAUAAUACAAAUAUGCAUUUUUUAUUUUAAUCAAUAAUUUUUUAAAUAAAAACUAUCUUGUUUAAACUUUGUAUUAAGUCGAUUAUAUAAAUUGAACUGAGGGAUUAUACACUUUUUUUGGUCCAUUCUCCAUUAUUUUGUUUCUUCGAUUGUUCUAUUUUUAUUUUUAUUUUUGUUUAUUUUAGUGACAUUCAUUUUUCUUCUGAGAUUCAUAAUGAAGAAAAACAUUAUUAAAGGGUCAAACACUGUAAUUAAAAAGCUUUAAAAUUUGCCCCCUUUUUCAGAUUAACAUUUGCAAUGAAAUGUUUAAAAUAUUCCCACUUAGAUUGAUCAAACUAUUACAAGUGAAGUUUCUAUCCUACAUUUUAUAUACAUAUAUAGGAGUCAAUGACUAAUAUAUUCAGAUGAGACGAUUUAGAAUGAUGACAAUUAUAAUUCAAGAAUGAGCUUUGAUUCAAUAGUCUUACGCAAUCUAAACACGCAUACAUUAAGUGAGAAAAAAAAUAGAGAUAAAAAGAUGAAUAGUUAUUAAAAAACCUUUAAUACGCUUCAUAUUUAAAUAAAAACAUUUGAGCAAAUACAAAAUUUAAAUAUUUAUCUAUAAAAAGUAUAAAUUAAUAGUAACAACGUAAAAUCGUUUAUUAUUUUCAUUAGGGCAGUGGAAAUAAAUAGAUAAUGAAGUAAUUAAUACAUGCUGUGUUGCACGAGUAAGACGGAAAGUUUGAUCCAAACCUAUAAUCAACUUUGAAAAUAGAUGAUUUGCUCUUAACAUGUUUUUCUCACUAUAAUUAAUGGAAUGACCUUCAAAUGCGGACAAAAAUAAUAAAUAAACCAUAUAUUUUAUCAUAAUAUUUGUAUUAACUGGUGUUUACUAGUUUUUAAUGAACUUGAAAAAUAAUAAUUCGAAUGAGUAGUUAUCAAAAAUUCUCAUGGAUCAUUUUAGGUUAUAUAUCAACAUAAUUUUUAAAAUAAGUUGAAUCAAACGAAUCAAAAUAAAUUGAAUUAAUAAAAUAAAUGAGUCAUUAAUCUGGUGAAACCAAACGAAUCGAACAAAUCAUAAUUUGAUUUAGCCAUCCAAAUUUUUUUUUUGCACGAAUUAAAAUAUAUUAUUGAGAAUAAGUUAAAAGCACCUAAAAGACUAAAGCAAACAAUUUUGAAAUAGUAAUGAUUCGUUAAUUUGCUAACAUGGGAUUUUUUUUCUUAAAGUAGAUCAAUCUUUAACUUUAAAAAAGGGUUUGAUUUUGCAGUGAAUAGAUAGGAACAUUUAAUCAAAUCUCGGUUUUAUUUUCACAAUUAUUGAAAUUAAGCUAUAGUUGACCUUUCCACAAAUCAAAUUGCACAUUUAUGAACCAAACAAAAAAUAAAUAAAUAGAUUUUUAAUUAUAAAUUAUUUUAAUUCACAACUAUAUUAUCAGUGGCAAUGAAUGCGAGGCUCCACAAUUGGGCUGUUUAAGAUCGUAGAUACCUUUAGAACAUGUUAACGAACAUUCAAAAUAAUUCGAAGCUAAUUAAUAAUCUGUUCAAUCAAAUUUUUAGUAUUUAAAAACGUUCUUUUUAAUUUAUUUUUUUGAUGAGAAGUAAUUAUAUUUGGUCAAUAAAUUUUAAAUAUAUAUUUGAAUUGGUAUUUGACCAACCUUUUAAAAAAUUGUUUCUAGUAUAGUUUUCUCAAAAAGUAUUUUAUAAGAAAAAUAUUUUUAGGAAAACAUUAAGAGCUCUCACAUUUUUUAACCGUUGAUAAUCAAACUUUCAAUCUUAAGACUGGAAUGUUAUAUUAUAUGAUCAGGACCAAGAACAUCUUUUUUUCGUUUGCUAAAGUUUGGUGGAUAGGAUUAUACAUUAUUUGUGCAUGUGAGAGUUAGUUAAAAUAUAUAGCAAAUGAAUAGUGGAAGCCUAUGUAAAUUAAUGUAGUAUAAAAAAUUAUGUGACACUAAUUAACUUUUAACGGUUAAAUUUUUAGUUUUGAUUAUAGAUAUGUAUAUGAAACUCAAAAAAGAGUGAAAUAAAAGUUACCUAUUUGAAGUAACAAUAACAACAUAUCUAAUGUACUUUUGAAAAGGAUAGACAGUAGGCGAAUUUUGCCAAUUACCCCUAUUGAUAUAGGUAAAGAGAUUAUUUUUGAUAGAUCCUAAAAUGUCUAAUGCAGUUAAAAAAAAGGUAACAAACGUAAAAAUAUAAUAAAAUAUUUUGAACUGUAAUUACACACAAUAAAAUAAUAUAAAAAUCAGAGUAAAAGAAACAAUCAAUAGUAGCAUAAACAGAAGGACAAAAAAUAACAAAAGUAAUAUUAUGACCACUAGUAUGAACGAACAACGAUACAACACAUUACUACAUACUAACCUCUAUCCUAAUCUGUGUCCUUCACGGUCUCUUAUCUAAGGUCUUGUUACCGAUAGGCUGAAAUCGAGGGCCUGUUUUGCCACAAAUAUAUUUGAGAACUAGUGUUUGGUCAUAUAAUUUGACAUUGCUUGACCAGGGUCGUAUACAGGAGGGGGUAACCGGGUUCACGUGAACCCAUGGUCCCCUCCUGAAAUCAUAUAUAGUAGUGUUAUAUUUUUAAAACAUAAUUAAAUAUAGAUGCGUGAACCCAGACUCGAAGUAUCAUAUAAUGUAGUACGAUGAUAAUUGGGUGCACCUCUCUAGGUGAGGUUAGAAAUUUGAAUCUUUUAUCUAUCUUGUUUUAGUUUUCUUUCUAAGAUUUUGUAUAUGGUUUGGAUAAAUAAAAGUUAAUUUUGGACCUAUGAUUUUAAAAUUUUAAUGCUUUUCAGUAAAAAGAAUCUAACCGAUCAAAUUUAUGUCUUAGAUCCACCUUUUUGUAAUAGUGCACCCAUUAUCUAUAAAUCCUGAAUACGCCUCUGUGCUUGACAAAUAUAUUUGGCAAACAUCUCAAGUUUCAUAGAGUAGAAAGGAGGAUCAUAGAACGAAUAAAUGGUGGAGACAAGGGGUGACGUAUAUUCAUGAUGCAUUUUCUUUUCUUCAUCCGCUCUACUUCCCCAAACAUAAUUAUAGUUUUUGAGCCAAAUUUUAUUUUUUUUAAAAAUUGCCUCAAUUUUUUAUAUUUUAUAAAAAAACACCCAUUAUUUAUGAUUUUUGACUAAAUUUCAUUCAUGGUUUGUUGUACAAAAUUUAUACUAAUAUGUACAUAUUAUAUACAAUUUUAUCCGAACUUGCUUUUUGAAGUCAUUUUCCGUUGGUGUAAUAUAUCACAAAUACAAUAAAUUACAGUUGAAAAUAAAAUGAACAAAAGUGAAUAAACCAAUCAUUUAGGUUGAGGUGCAAAUAUCUCGUUCUCUAUAAGGAAACAAGUCUACUAUAGUAUAAUUUACAUUGAUCCAGUAAUAUCAAUCUUGACUUGGCCUUUCAGGAUACAACAAUCCAAUAUCAUCGCACAACUCAAACAACUCCAGGAUUUUGUUGAAGAUUCCAAAGCUCCACAAAAAAAAAACACAUUCCUUCAACAUAUAAUUACUCUCUUUUGUAUAGUGAAUACAGUUGAAGACUUGGAAUAUUUUCUUUGUCGCAACUCUCUCUUUCAUUACUACACACUAAAAUAUUAUUUCGCACUUCUCAUCUUUCUUGGGAUUAUAUCUUCUCUCCCCAAUACAAAGUAAGAUCACAUUAUUUAUAGGUGAUAAAUUCUUCUUUACAAUGAAUAUGAAGAUAAUGAGUAGUAAAUUGAGUCAACGAAUAACCCAAAUGUUACAUAAGUUACAAGGUAUAAUGAGAUAGAAUAAUUGGUGGAAUCAGUGGUAGAUCAUGACAAUAGUGAUUACAAGAGUUACAUCACUAAUAUGUCUUGUAAUCACUAUAAAGAGUUACAUUCUUGUCAAAUUAUACCCACUAAUAUAUGCACUUAAUAUUUUAAUUUUAAUAUCAAAAUGCUUAAAUACCAACACUUCCAAUUACAAGUAGUAACAAUAGUUUUUCAUAUAUAAAUCAAUGAUAUUUCCUUUUGUUUUCUUCCUUUUUUUUCAAAUUCAUACCAAUUAUGUUCGUUGUCAUAGCUUUCCAUGAAACAUUUUCAUUAUAAAAUGAUAAUACAAGCUUAUGACUAUUUUUAUUAAGUUUUAGAACUUAUAGGUAUAAAACAUAUAUUUUUUUGGGAAAAGGGUCAAAAAUAUCCUUCAACUUUGGUUUAUUGUUUGACUUUACCCUCGCUGUUAAAAUGAAGUUAAAUUUACCCUCGCCAUUACUAAUUUCACCAAAAGUACCCCUCAAAUGGAUGGAAAGCCCCAAAUCAACUAAAAUUACCCAAUUUUGAUUAAAAUGACCAGAUUUCUCUUACCCGACCCACGAAUUCAUACCAAAUUAAAACCCUAAAUCCAUUUCUCUAAUCUUCCUCUCCUUCCUCAGUUGAAACACCCUAUUAUCAGUUAACACCCAUAACUUAGAGGCAAAAAAGCUCAACUACAAUAUCAUUCUCCUUCUUCUCACAAGGUAAGUCAUUAUCUAUUGAGUUAAUUUCAUUUUAUUAUGCUAAUGGAUAUUUAACAAUGAUAGUUGCUAGCAUAUCACAUUAGCGGGAAAUUGAAAAUAAAUAAUUUGUAAUUUCGAUCGGUAAUUUUAGAGAAACUUUUGUGUUUUUUUUUUCAUUUCAGAAAUAGAGUUGAUUGAUCAAUGAUGAAGAUUGAGGUGGGAAAAUCGACAAUGGUGUAGCCGGUGACUGAGACGCCGCAACUAAGGUUGUGGAACUCUAUGGGAAAAACAACGAUGGUGUAGCCGGUGACAGAAACUCCGCAACUGAGGUUGUGGAACUCUAAUGUGGAUUUGGUGGUGCCUAAUUUCCACACACCAGUGUUUGUUUCUAUAGGCCAACAGGAUCCCUAAAUUUUUUGACCGAAAGGUGCUUAAGGAGGUAUUAAGCAAAUCCCUACUGCCGUUUUAUCCGAUGGGUGAGAGGCUGUGCAGGGACGAAGAUGGCCAUAUUGAGAUUGAUGGUAAAGGCCAAGGUGUGUUGUUUUGCAGAAGUUGAGUGAUGGUGUGGUGGAUGAUUUUGGUGAUUUUGCGCCGACGUUCGAGGCUUAUUCCGGUAGUUGAUGGAAUGGAAUCUUAUGCUCUCUUAGUGUAAUGGGUAAAAGAGAUUGGGUUUUAGGUUAGAGGGGUCGGGGCAUUGGUUUUAAAAUGGGGAAUGGGUCUUUUUUUAAAAUUCGGGUUAAUUUGGGUCAAUUUUGGGGAUUUCGUCUAAUGAGGGGUAAUUUUGGUGAAAAAACUAACAGGAGGAGUAAAUUUAACUUCAUUUUAACGGCGAGGGUAAAGUCAAACAAUAAACCAAAGUUGAGGGGUAUUUUUGACCCUUUUCCCUAUUUUUUUAAAAGUGAAAUAUUUCUAUGAAAUUCUAUGCCAAAUGCAUGUAAAAUUUUACCCAAAAAUGACUUGCUAAAAAUAUUUAAAAAUUUAUGGCCAACCGCUAGCUAGCUGAGUCAUGUCCUCAUCUAAUCACGAUACCACAUAAAUUGAGAUAGAAGAAAUAAAAAAAUAAAUUAAUUGGUGUUAUUUUUUAUUUUUUUAAAAAAAAGCUGUAAAGGAGGGAGUACUGUAGUAGAAAGCUCUUUAUUCAUUGUGGCUUGUGCGCUGUCUGCGUGAGUGAGUGGUCUCUGUCGGGUAGCUGUAUAAUAAAUUGUACUCUCCAUUUCACUUUCCUCUUUUUUCUCCCUCAAAUCCCUACACCCCUAACCCUCCCCAACCCAAAAUGGCCUGAAUUCUCCGGCGUGAUUUGCCGCCGACACCUCUUCUUCGCCUAUCGCCGCCUCCGCCGCCUCCGCCGAUCGUGUAAGUUCACUCUGAAAUUCUGUUUAAUUAGCUUUGUUGCCUUCGUUACUGUCACUCAGUACCUUCAGAUCAAGUGUUUAUCGUCUACAAUUAACUAGUAGAGUUUUACUUUUUAUCAGUAGUUGUGAAGUUUGCUUUUUUGAAUGCUCGUUGGAGCUGAGUUUUUUUUUGGAUUUUAGUAGUUGAUCUUUUUAUUUUGUCAGUGUAUUUUGUCGAUCGUCAGUAUAACUACUGGCGUUUACUUGAGCUUCAGUGAAAUUAUACUCCGUCUAUUGACGAGUAUGUUGCUGCCGGCUCUGUUUCGCCGGCUCUCUAAUUUUUUUUAUUUUUAUUAAUAAAUAAAUUAUUUGAGAAUUGAUGCAAGUAUUUUGUGUUUUUAUAUACUCGUAGCUCUUUUAGUAACGUGACAUUUUUUUUGAGAAAGUUAUAAAUUUUUUUUUUUGAGAAAAGUAACGUGACAUUUUGACAAUGCAUUCUAUGGAGUAUUAUUUUUCUACAUCUGUUGAUCCUGAAUUUCGAGUUACCUGUUGUUUCUACGGGUAAAUGGCACAUUUACGUUUACUUAGUAGUUGUUGGCCUAAUUUAGGAGUUUUACUGAAUUAGGACGUCAAAGAAAUGAUCAUUAUGUUUCUUCUCAUACCAAAUGGAUAGGAAAAAUAAUCAAAUGUGGCAAGAUUUACAGUGUUUGGCAUAGUUUUUGCUUUUCUACUGCAUGCAUGCCUUUAGUGAACAAGCAAUAAGAUUUUAAAAAAAAAUAUCAAGUACAAUGAGCUAAGUGAAUUAGUCUUUUAUGAUAACUUUGACAUGGUCAUAUAAGAUACAAAAGAGAUCACAACUUACUAGUAUUAUCAGUCGCAACUACGGGAUUGACCAGCUUAACCUUAACACAGUAUGUUAUAAUUCACUAAUCACUAUAUACAGAUUGAAAAUAAUGAGGUCCUGGGUUGCAAAGUCUUGCAAGUAAUCAAAAUUAAACCGCUUUCUGUUUUAAUCGCCAAAUACUCUCACCCCUUACCCCAAAAUAACUUUUUUCCCUCUCUGUUUUUGGGUCUGCCAUUUUCUCUCUUUUUGGCUAUAGGUGAAGAACCUGUAACUAUGAUCUAUUUUGGGUUCUCAGCAACUCUUUCAAAAAGAGUAGCAGGUAUUUUGUACUGGGAAAGGCUUUAUUAGCAUUGGUAAUGUGAAAUUAGUUUAGGAGCAUUUAUGACCAACUCUGACAUACUUUAUAAAAAGAGAAGUUGAAGGAUUAGAAGAAAAAUUUAGGUAUUCAGAUUCUUAAAACAAAUUUUAAUUAGGCUUGUCUUCGAACUAGUAGCUGUGUAAUAUGUAUGACCUCUUUCAAUAAUCUGUCUACAAAUAAUUAUGUAACAUCAUAAAUAUCUAACAUUAAAACUUCUGAAUUUUAUUUGACAAAGGUAUGAGCAUUUUGUUGCUUUAUCACAAUUAUCUCAAAAGCAUUUAUUGAAAUUUCAAUAGUUUAUCAGGGAAUUUCGCCAUGGAAGAUACACAAUCAGUUGCAACAUUGAUGGACUCCACAACAUCUAAGAUACAGCAACUACAGAAAGCAUUCGCUGAGUUGGAAAGUCACCGUGCUGUUACUCUCAACCUGCAGUGGAAGCAACUUGAAGAGCACUUUAAUGGGCUUCAGAAGUCCUUGAAGAGGCGUUUCACUGAACUGGAAGACCAAGAGAAGGAGUUUGAGACAAAAAUUGUUCAAUCUACAGAGAUAUUGGAGAAGCGUCAAGCAGCUGUUAUUGCUACAGAGCAAGCUUCUCUUCAGAGGCUCCAGGAGAAAAGAGAUGCAGCAGUUUCUGCCAUUUCAAUUGCUUUGGAGAAGCAUAGGAACCCUUGUUCUGUGGAACCAACUGUCAUUAAUUGUGAAGUUCAAGACGAGCCAUCUGUUCUGGAAGAGAAACCCGAUAAUGUAACAGAGAUUGGGCAUGUUACAGGGGAUACAUGGAAAUCUUUUCAGGAUGGUGUUGUGGAAGUUAAGUCUUAUCCAGAGCUAGUGAAUCUAUGCCGAAAUAUGGAUUCUGAAGGUCUGCACAAAUUCAUAUCAGACAACCGUAAAAACCUGGCAGCACUCAGGGAGGAGAUUCCAUUUGCUUUAAGAGCAUCAACCAAUCCUGCCUCUCUGGUUCUGGAUUCACUGAAUGGGUUUUACAACUCUGAUGUGUCUAUUUCUGAUGCUAAAAAAGAUGCUAAUCUUUUGGGACUGCGACGAACUUGUAUUAUGUUGCUGGAAUGCCUCAGUACUUUAUUGAACACCCUGGAUAUAGAUUCCAUUUUAAGUAUAAUAUCAGAAAAUAUAAGAGGACGUGCAAAAGCUAUUGCUGAAGAGUGGAAUCCGAAGUUGGAUGAACUUGACGUUGAUGCAAAUAAUGGAAAUUCUUUGGAGGCUCAUGCAUUCUUACAGCUACUUGCUACUUUUAGUAUUAGUUCCAACUUUAACCAGGAGAACUUAUCCAAGCUGAUACCCAUGGUUUCACGUCGUCGCCAAACAGCUGAUCUCUGUCGUUCCCUUGGAUUAUCUGACAGAAUGCCAGGUUGGUUUCCAUAACUUGUAGAAUUAACUGUUCAAGGUUUUUUUCUACAUUUUCUAUUUUUUACAAGUUCUUAAGGCCUCUUUAUUGUUUCUCCCCUUGAUUUUUCAAAGAGUAAUCUUAUGAUGGUUCAAAAAUAGUUAUAUCAUGGUAAAAAUUACAGAAUGCAGUGUUCUCAUCUAGCUUGUUGAAAGUCUUAAUUCAUUUGGAGUCUAGAUAUUUAAUAACUUAAUUUGAUACGAAUGGAGAACUUUAAAAAUAGGAAGUAACAUAUAAUGCUAGAACGAUAAAGCGAUUUGAAGCACAUAAGCAAAUUCACCAGACACUUGACUGCAAAGGAAUACAUCACAUCUUUGAUAUUUCCCUUUUUUUGUGCUUUUUACUUAUAUACAUUGACGGUGUAAAACAUUUUAAACUUGUUAGCUAGUUGCUUACCUUCUUUUCUAGGUUACUGAUCCAUACUUAAGUAUAAAUGGUUGCACAUAAUUGUUUUUUUAGAGAACUGACAUUGUGAAGAUACUUUACUUGUCAGUGCAGUCUUACUUAUCAAAAAAAUAAGCUAAAGCUUCAUUUCUCUUAUCUGCUUGAAUGGUUUGCUGCUUGCUCUAUACAGGUGUUAUUGAUGUGUUGAUAAACAAUGGAAGACAUAUAGAUGCUGUUAAUCUAGCUUUUGCAUUUGAGCUGACAGAGCAGUUUCCGCCUGUUUCUCUAUUGAAAUCCUACUUGAAUGAAGCUAGCAAAGCAUCUACACUUCUCAAUUCUGGAAAUGCAUCACCUACUGUGCAGGUUUGUUCCUUGUGCGUUGGUAUAAUUUGGACUUGACAUUUUUCUUUUUAUCAUAUUGCUUUCCAAAUGAAGCCUGUUCAGUGUUUACUGUUGUGUCAUGGUCCAUAUAUAAAAACCUCUUUUUCCUCCUGUUCCUUUGGGGCGUGCAAUUGUGUAUGUAGAACUUUUCAUUAGCGGUGUCACAAUUUAAAAAGUGAACAUAUUGUAAAAAUAUCAUUUCGGAAACACAAAAAUGUGCAUAAUUUGCACCUUAUCAGAGGAGGAUGAGUACAUUUUUUUAAAAAUUACUAUCAUUUUAAGUUUGUUGAAACUAUUUUUUUGCAUAUCAUAUGAGAAUGAUUUUUCAUUCAAGGGAUCGUUAAUAAUUAGAUCUCAUGGAUUUACUCAAGUCUUUACAGUAUAAAAGGCCAGGGGUUUAAUACCUCCCGACUCUAUUUCCUCUAUUGCCAAAAAGGCACAAAAUUUAGGGCAUUACACUACAUGAGGAUCGAAUACUCGACCUCGGUCGAACAAGGAAGCACCUAAAUACUAAUCCAUUCCAGGCUUGCUGUAAAGGGGUGUAAUUUUUAUUUUAUCUAGUCAUUUGGAAUAAUUAAUUGUUUUUUCUCCAGAAUGAUGUCAAUGAGAAAGAGUUGUCUGCACUAAAGGCUGUAUUAAAAUGCAUUGAAGACCAUAAGCUUGAGGAGCAAUACCUUGUGGAUCCCCUUCAGAAAAGGGUUCAUCAGCUGGAGAAAGUGAAGGCCGACAAGAAAAAGGCAACUGAAGUUGCAAAACCUCAAUCCAAAAGACCUCGUCCCAAUGGUGUCGGAAAUGGCCCCCGAGUAAAUAAUGUCGUCACUGAGAAGAACUUCUAUCCAAGAAUGACUGAUAGGUACCCGCAGCCCGUUUAUGACAGACCAUAUGCUUACCCUGGACCGACCAGCACCCACGUUCCAUCAUUCAUGGGUGCUCCUGCUUACAACUUCUCUCCUGGCCACGACUUUUUUGGAAAUGGCUACCAUUACCAGGCUCCUUACCUGCACUGAUAAGGAAACUUUGAUGAUUAUCCCUUUUAACUAUUAGUGUUUAACCUUGGAGUUUGCUUAAUUUGCUCGUGUGGGCGAAUUUAAUACUGAAUGUAGCCUACUUGUCUGUUUCUAAUCUGGUGUAAAAGCUGAUAUUUUAAUCUUUGAAUAUAUGCACUGUGUUUCAUGUUUAUAUCCAUUAAUCUCGUGUUUAACGUUUAUUUCGUGAUGCUACUGGAAAUUAUAUAUAAAUUAGUUUGUCUACUUGCUAGUGUGUACCAAUUCAGGGAAACAAAGAAAUGUCGAACUUGUUCUCGUCCCGGUAAAACGAGCCACCCGUGAUAGUCAGAUCGGUUUGAUUAUCAUUAGUAAAAGCUAGCUUUGUAAGCUAAGCAAGCAGGGCGCUAUGCUUGGUCGUAGAUCGAUCAUGAUGUGAAUGACUUUUUUGUAAUGUAAUGUAAAUGUAAUAGAAGAGAUGGAAUUCAAUUAUCAAUGCCUCUCCAUUUUCAACAAAGGUGAUAUGAGUUCCCGACUUCAUUUGUUUGUGCCCUUCUGGUGCGAGGAUUAAAUUCAUUUACUAAUUAUGGGUUAUUAUUUGUAAUAAUCUUCAAGUGAUUUUGAAAUGUAAAAAUUGGAUUCUUAACAUGAAAAAUUUAAAACUUACAAAAAUGAAAAAGAAUAAAGGUCCAUAAUAAUCAUGUAGUGUUGAUCAUCCAUUCUUAACCAAUGAGGUAUGGAUAAGGGAUAACGUUUUAUUAUUUUAUAACCAAUCACAAGCUCCCACGUAAGAGUCAUCCACCUUCAGAACCACAAAUUUUGUCUGCCAGCAAAAAAUUUAAAAAAUCCUCAUGUUCAUGUUUGAAACUUAGUUAUAUUCCUGUCUGACUUAAGUGUCAAUAUUUGCAAAAUGGCUACUGCAGCUUCCACCAUGGCUAGCCAGUUGAAUAGCAGCUUUGCUUCGUCUUUAACCAGAGGUCACGGCCUUGUUACUCCUAAAGGCAUUUCUGGUGCACCUUUCAAGAUUUUCCCUUCAACAAGAAAGUCUUGCUUCACCGUUAAGGCUGUCCAAGCUGAUAAAGUAAGAUACCAAAUCACCACUUUUCUUACUAUCAUGUUCUUGAUUUUCAAUAUUUUCUUUGUGUUUUUCGAAAAUCAGAAAUUCUAACUAGGAGAUUCAGAAAAUGAUAAAAUGUCACAUAUGAAAUCCAAACAUAUACAAUUUCAGAUUUUUUUAUGCUUAAUUAUAAGUUAAAUAUCAAGUAUUCCGGCUAUAUGCACAAUAUAAUUUUUCUAUAAAGUAGAUUCAAUUGAAACCCUUUUAAACCACGUAGCUCCACCCCUUUUGCAUCUUAUAAGUUUCCUAAUUAUAAUUUUUGGUGGGAAAAAUGUUGCUAGUGAGAUUCAAACACAUGAGCACUUACGGCUCUUUCAAGACAUCUAAAAUCACUAGGCUACAACACUUUUUUUUGUCAAGGGUGUCUAAAAUAUGUUAUUUAAUCACUUCGUAUAUCAUUUUACUUAUAUAUACGGUAUUAUUUCCCGACGAAGGGUGUCAAGUAGCUACGCCCCUGCCACCAUGCAUGAUACAAUUUUUCAACAAUAGAAUUCAAUUGAACCCUCUUCGAAUCAUGUAUAUGUGCCAGACUUUGCUUAAUUGACUCCCAAUAAUUUUAACUAAUUCAUGUCCUGAUCUUCUUUGGUUCUGCAGCCUACUUUCCAAGUGAUUCAACCUCUAAAUGGUGACCCUUUCAUUGGAAGUCUUGAAACUCCAGUAACCUCAAGCCCAUUGAUUGCAUGGUACCUCUCCAACUUGCCUGCCUACCGGACCGCGGUGAACCCGCUUCUCCGGGGAGUUGAAGUGGGCCUGGCCCAUGGAUUCUUACUAGUUGGGCCUUUUGUAAAGGCUGGUCCAUUAAGAAACACAGCUUAUGCAGGUAAAGCCCAAUUCCUAGUUUCAAUUUUUACACAUAGAGUUUGAGUUCUAUAUGCUGUUAACUAACAUGUUACUACAAGUAGGGGCGGAAGGGGAUUCGUCUGAACCUCCUUUGUCGGAAAAUUACACUUUAUAUAUAAGGUCAAUUUUUUUUUAUGUAUAUAAAAUAGAUGAUGAACCCGACCCAUUGUAUGCAGGGGGAGCUGGUUCAUUGGCAGCAGCAGGACUUGUAGUGAUCCUUAGCAUGUGUUUGACAAUUUAUGGAAUUUCAUCAUUCAAAGAAGGAGAUCCAUCAACAGCACCAGCAUUAACAUUAACUGGUAGGAAAAAAGUACCAGAUCAAUUGCAAACUGCAGAUGGAUGGGCUAAAUUCACUGGUGGAUUCUUUUUUGGUGGAAUUUCUGGUGUCACCUGGGCUUAUUUCCUCCUUUAUGUCCUUGAUCUUCCUUACUUUGUUAAGUAAAUUUCUGUACUAUUAUGAAUGUUAAAUUGGAUAUAUCAAAGUUGUAUAUCGAACCGCUGAUCUCUUGGAGAAGUGUAAUGAAUGUUUACUUUAAACGCUAGCAUAUCCGCACAUUUCGUUCUUGAUUCUAAUUCUUGCCUCCGGCUCUAGUGUAGUGGUAAUCGCGCAAUGCAUAAUGUGUGUAAUGUGUUGGGUGCAUGUCACGGCUAAUCUUGAGCUAGUCUUGGUUAUAUAAAAAAGAAAAAAAAGUGAUUUCUAGUACUCAAGGGCGUGAUCUAGUGGUCAAUGAAGUGGUUGAGAGUCAUGAGGUUUCAGGUUCAAAUCUAAGGUGAUUCUUUCCAUCUAGUUGAGGUGUGCGAAAGUUCGUCCAGACAUCAUGGUUAUCAAAAAAGAAGAAGUUGGUUUCUCCAAAUCAACCAGUUCAAGUUGGAUUGUUUAAUCUAAAGACUAAAUGGGUUGCUGUUUACGAAAUACAAAUUUGGCUUGAAAUUGGUUUAUAUGCAUGUCAAAAAUGGAAUCAAAUAUAAGAAACAUGUCUUACAUAUAAAUUGUUUUAAUUUAAUCAACGGAAAAUGAUCACCUUCGAACUAUUGGAAAUAAAAUAUCAUCCAUUUGGUUUUUGGUUAAAACAUGCCUCAAAUAUUAGAAACAGAACAAAAAUGCAUUAGCAAACUGGUCCAACUAUGCUCCUAUCCCGUUAAGGGGAAGGCAUGGGAGCCAAAACGCCUUACAAGGCGUGAUUCUCACACGCGUUUCAAUAAAAAAGUUAACACCCUUUACUAUAAGGCGUGUGAGGGGUCACGCCUUUUACCUGUUUCGAUUUUGUUAGGAAUUUUUGAUGAAAAAUAUUGUCCUUCAGGCUCUGGACUCUACAAAAUUGCUAAAGUGACAACAACAUUGAUUCUCAUGUUAACAAAAAUUAUUCGACUAUCAGCUGAAUUGUGCAACUCAACUAUUAACGAUACCAAAAGUACUUAAUCCCUUUUCAAUUUAAUUUGUGUUUCUUAAUGUAAAAUUAAUUAGUCAAUUUGGUGUAAAUAGGGACUUUUUUUUAUGACAAGGAAACCCAUCGCCACAUAGGGUAAAACCCCUUACUCCUAUGCAAUAGCUCACAAACCACACACAAGAGAGGUAGCCCGCAGUAGAUAAGUCUGGUGCGACGAAUUCGAUCCAAAAGGCAAACCCCUUACUUUCGUUGGGAAGGAGUUUCGAACUUGAAACCUUCAGCAUGAAAGUUCCAAGUCCAAACCACUAGGCCAUCCCGAAGGGUGUAAACAUGGACUUUCUUUCCCUGUUCUUUUUACAAAAAUCAAGUUAGCUAUGAAUGAUCCAUUCGUGACCAAUGCAGUUCGGAUAAGAGAUAAUGUUUCAAAACUAACCAAUAAGAAGCUCCCACGUAAGAGUUUCAUCCACCCUAAGAACCACCAAUCUGUAAACCCAAAAGAUUUUCUUUGCCAGUCAUUAACAAGACUUGUCUGCAUCUUUUGUUAUAUUCUAACUAACUGAUCAAACAAACAGAGCCAAACAAUAUUUUCCAAAAUGGCUACUGCAGCAUCCACAAUGGCUAGCCCGUUGAAGAGCAGCUUUGCUUCGUCUUUAACCAGAGGUCACGGCCUUGUUACUCCCAAAGGCAUUUCUGGUGCACCUUUUAAGAUUUUCCCUUCAACAAGAAAGUCUUGCUUCACCGUCAAGGCUGUCCAAGCUGAUAAAGUAAGAUAACUAAUCACCACUUUUCUUAUUAUCAUGUUCUUGAAUUUGACAACUUUUUUUUGAGAUAAAUUAUAAUAUUCAGAUCAGUUUGUACAUGCCUCAACUAACUCAGCCGGGAGUCGAAUCAGUAAAUUUUAUAUUUGUGUCAAAUAGAUUCACUUAAUAUGUUCAAUAAUCUAUUCAGAACCUAGUAACCAAAAUACUAAGUUAUUGUUUAGAUCCCAUAAAUUUAAAAUCUGUGAUGUAUCGAGUAAUUCUGUCCACUGAGGCUAGGACAAAUGGGAAAAGAUCACCUAUAGUUUGGAUUUCUGUAUGUUUUCUUUAGAUAAGCGGCGGAGCUUAAAAUUAUUUAAAUGCCACACCUAGAUUUCAAACUAGCAAUGUAAAAUCAAGUUUCGAGAGUAUGCCUUAAUCUAAUAGGCGGCAUAGAGUUUCUAAGUGAAGGAACUAUACAUGGAACUAGCUUUUUCUAAUCACCUUUUGCCAUUACAUAAAAAGUUUCUCUUGUGUAGAGAAAAUUCAGUAAUUUAAUUCUUUGGCUAUUGACAGGGCAAGGAAUCUGAAAGGGGAUUUGAAAAAAAUACUCAAAUGCCAUACCUAAAGUUCAUCUUAUAAGAAAAAAAUUUCUAACAAAAUGUAAAUUUUGGUUUGUUGGAUCUGAUUAUUACUCAAUAACUGUCCUUUGCUUUGUGUUGUUUUUCUUGAUUCUGCAGCCAACUUUCCAAGUGAUUCAGCCCCUUAAUGGUGACCCUUUCAUUGGAAGUCUUGAAACUCCAGUCACCUCAAGUCCAUUGAUUGCAUGGUACCUCUCCAACUUGCCUGCCUACCGGACCGCGGUGAACCCACUUCUCCGGGGAGUAGAAGUGGGCCUGGCCCAUGGAUUCUUACUAGUUGGCCCAUUCGUAAAGGCUGGCCCAUUAAGAAACACAGAGUAUGCAGGUAAAGUCAGACUUUAGAAUUUUAACUUGAUGAGUUUAAUCUUUAUAACUCACGGUUGAUUCACACCAUAGAUGUCCCUAGUUUUUAAGAGUUGUGCAAAUAGACAAAACAUUAAACUGUCAUCUAAACAUCUACAAAAUUUCAGACCAUGGUCUAAAAGGGUCAUUAUUUCGAAAUGUAUGUAUCUAAGUUCUGUGACGAAAAUAUUGUUACUAUUAUUGCAGGGGGAGCUGGUUCUUUGGCAGCAGCAGGACUUGUUGUGAUCCUUAGUAUGUGUUUGACAAUUUAUGGAAUUUCAUCAUUCAAAGAAGGAGAUCCAUCAACAGCACCAGCAUUGACAUUGACUGGCAGGAAAAAAGUGCCAGAUCAAUUGCAAACUGCAGAUGGAUGGGCUAAAUUCACUGGUGGAUUCUUUUUUGGUGGAAUUUCUGGUGUCACUUGGGCUUAUUUCCUCCUAUAUGUUCUUGAUCUUCCUUACUUUGUUAAGUAAAUUUCUUUAAUUGAUGUAACUAUUUUGAAUGUUAAAUUGGAUAUGAAAGAUGUAUAUUGAACUACUAAGCUCUUGGAGGAGUGCAAUUUAACUCGUUGUAAUGAGUUACUUGUCUUAUUCUUUAUAACUUGUAGUUAUCUUUAGUGACCUUUUAAAUGACUUGACUGUAUAUAAAAUUCUUACAUUUUUCAAGUCUAUGACUCUGAGUCGAAGAAACCGAGAUGAUUGGGCACAUGCUAGAAUAAUCUUUUAAAAGGGAAUCAUAUAACUAAAAGAAUAUUUGUAAAGAACGAUUGAACUCGUAAAAAAUGCAGAUGUCUUACCUUUUCUUUAGAAUAUUAUCUUUAAUUGUAACUCACUCUAUUUAAAUUUUAUCAAAGCCUUUUUCAAGUAAGCAAAUUAAUCCAAAUACGAAAAAUGAACAGUUCAACAAAAUAUUUCUCUCUCUCUCCAUGCAAAUCAUGCAUUAAAAUACUUUACCUCCAAAUUGAGGAUACACAUAACACAUGUAUAAAACCUCAGGGCCUGUAGAUUACUUUUUUCAGUCAUUGUAAACAUUCCUAGAAAACAAAUACAUAACUACUCAUUUCAGCUUUAGAGCACAGCCAUGGCACCUUCAGGGUAUGUAGAUUACAUUUUAAAGUUAUUGUAAAGAAUAUUUAUAUGAAUUAUGUUGCUUAUAAAGCAAGUGCAAGAUAUAUUUAUGACAAAUAUUUACUGGUAAUCAAUAAAAAUCGCGAGUUUCUCACGCUAUAAUCAGUUAAAUUGGAGUGAUAGAACUGAUAGUAUAUGUAUAGUUUGAAUCCUUUGUUUUUUAGGCAUUUUAAUGUGUUAGCUUACUGGUUAUGUACAUGUUUAGAAUGGUUGGCUGGCUUUGUUUUGAAUUGUUACGAAAUUUUAUAGUUGGUAAAAGACAUAACCUAAAUGUAUAAUCCAGAGAAUUUUAGUAACUCAGUUGGUUGGCUACUUGAACUUUCACCUUGUUGGUGAGGGAAUUCCCUCCCUGAUUUCCCCUUCCGCUACCCCUAAUUUUUUGUUCAUUUUAAAAAAAAAACUAUAUGUAUAAUCUUGCUUUUGCCAUUUGCCAGAAACUCAGGCAGCAGUGGCAAGCACAGUGUAGUCGUGACAGCUCUAGACGGAGUCAUAAAUGUGAACUCACUCUUUACCAUUGCCAUUUUUGUGGGACUGUCUCUUGCAUCUCCAGGGCAAAAGAGCCUCAACAGUAGCGAACGUUGUCAGCCAGGGAUUCUAACAGUAAAGCAACUAGUAAUCUUCGAGGUGCUUUCGUUCAGUUUCUUUCUCUUCUCAUCACUAGUAGCACAGGCCAUAAAACUCUCCCUCAAUCUUCUCUAUAGCGAAGAUCUGUCUCAUGAUUUCAGUGUUAUUGUCAAUGGAACACUCCUUAGAGCAGGAAUGUUGAUGACAGCCAUUUCCUCUGUUAUGGGGUGCUUGUUUCUUAUGGUUUCUAUGUUGAAUGUGAUUGAGAUCAAGACUGGGAUGCUAAUCUGUGGAGCUAAAUCUACUAUUAUAUCAGUUACUUUCCUCAUAAUCCUCGUUUCUUCUGGUCUUUUGGUGUAUAUUUCUGCUGCAUGGUAUGCAUUUAUCCACGCAAACGUUCACCCCCAUGAAAACAGGACUUCUUGAUUUGCCAAGCUCUCUAGUUCUAUCAAAUCCUAUUUUGUUGUCCAAUAACAGCGGUGUCUGGAUUAGUUUGUGUGCACUUCAACAAUUCUAUCUAACAAACCUUUGCUACCUCACAGAGCUUCAUAUCUUGUUUUUCAUCUUUGGUCCAGUACGUCAAAUUUUCGGCUAAGUAUAGACCCUUUGUAAGGGGACCUAUUAUUUCAAUCUUUUGUAAUUGUUUAGGUGAUGGACAGGAAAGUCCACUUUCCUUCUUGUUAAGAUAUUUAAUAUAUAUAGUUAAUUUAUCACAUCAAUGUAUAGUGCAGUGAUUUUUAAGUAAUACAAUAACAACAUACCUAGUGAAAUCCCACAAGUGAGGUCUAGAGAGGCAAGCACGGUGUACCAGACCUUACCACUAAGGGUGUUCACGGUUUGGUUUGGGUCGGUUAUUGGUCAAAACCAAAACCAAACCAACUUAAUCGGUUCUAAAAUUAUCAAAACCAAACCAAACCAAACCAAAUAUAAUAUACAUUUAUCGGUUUGGUUGUUUUCGGUUUUGGUUUGGUUUGGCUCGGUUAUUCGGUUUUUUAACCAUACAUAAAAAUAAAAGAAACAAUUCAUUCAAAACGUGAAAAAAGUGACAACAAUCCAUUCAAACAAAAAAAUAGUUAGAAUGACUGGCAUUACAGAACUUUCGAUCAUUGAAUUUACUGAAUAAAACUUCAAAAUUCACUAUUUUGGCAUUGAAGGAAGAGACAAUGAUAUUUUUAGUCUCACAAAAAAUUUUCAUACACUCAUAUACAUGAAACCAAUAAGAAAAAUGUUCUCACCUUGGACAUUUUUUCUUUCAUAAGUAAAUUAUAAAUAAAUUUUGAUGAAACAUAUAUAAAAUCUUUAAAAUUGUUUAUGAAUAUAAUAUAUUAUGUAUGUAUAAUAAUAAAAUUUAUGUAUAUAGCUUGUUGGUUCGGUUCGGUUAUUUCUUCGAUUUUUUUCGAACAAAAUCAUAACCAAACCAAAUACUAUCGGUUCUUAACAAUCUAAAACCAAACCAAACCAAAACGCAAAUUAAAUCGGUUUGGUUUGAUUUUUCGAUUUGGAUUGGUUUUUAUCCAAACCAUGAACACCCCUACUUACCACUAUCUCGUGGAGUUAGAGAGGCUGUUUUAAGUAAUAAUCUUCAGAUUUUAUUUGUUGUUGCAAGUUGUGGAAAUGCAGAAUUUUAUUUUGGCAUCAUGACAUUUUUUUAUCUUUACUUUCAUGCAACCUGGUAGUGUUAGUAUACAAGACGCUGAACUAAGAAACAUAGACGGAGAACAUAGAUAUCUCAAAAUGUAUAAAUUCGGAGAAUUUUAGUAGCUCAAUUGGUUGGCUAAACUUUUAUCUUGUUGAUAUAGACGGAGAACAUAGAUAUCUCAAAAUGUAUAAAUCCGGAGAAUUUAAGUAGCUCAGUUGGUUGGGUAAACUUUCAUCUGGUUGGUCCCUCCCAGCAACUGUUGCUUAAAAAAAAAACCGCCGCUGCCGGGGAUCGAACCCGGGUCACCCGCGUGACAGGCGGGAAUACUUACCACUAUACUACAACGACUUUGUUGGCUAUAUAUUUUGUACGAUGAAAGAUAUUAUUAUUUAAUAGUAAUAGAUUGGGAAUGAAUGGUGCUGGAUUGCCCAUCCUUUUUAUUUAAAUUGGUAAGAAGAAAGGAAAACAAAUAUAGAGAAGAAGAUAUCCAGGAUGGCUGCAACUCCCAACAUUUACACCCAAAAGUUCCCAACAAUUACAACUCAAAAUUACAUAGCCUCCAAUAUAUCUUGUUUUAUAAGUUUCCGAAAACAGAGCAGAAAAUUGGUUUUAAUAGUUGGAAACUCCAGUAGCAGCGACACAGCCUCAGCAAUAGGCACAGAUGAAACCUCACCUGUUGAAAUUGCCCCUUCUAUUAUCUCUGCUCUUAAUGUUGAAAAAGCUCUUCUUGGCAUAGGUGCUUUCUUCCAUUUCAUUUAUUUUUACAAUUCACUUUUCUUAUCACUGCAAAAGUGUAUUGAAAUUAAACUUUGUUUUCGAACAUUUUAAAUUUGAUUUGUUCAUCUUAAUAACUAUGAUUUUUAUUUUAUUUUUGUCCUUCAUUUGACUAAUAAGUUACAUUUUAGAAUGCAGCAAUAACAGAUAUAGAUCACUAUGGAAUACUAGGACUUUCAAGAAAAUGUUCAUAUGCUGAGGUCCACACAAAAACAUCUCUUUAAUUUUGUUUUUCUCUCUUUUUCACCCAUUAAUUAAUCAGAUAAAAAAGAAAAGAAUAAUUUGUUCUUAAUGUUUGACUUGUAUUCGUACAAUAUAUAUAGGUUCCAGUAGCGUACAAGAAAAAAGUUGAAGAAAUUAUGAAUGAGGGAUUGGUAGAAGAAGAGCUUAACAAGAAGCUUCAACUCCUAAAAGUAUUAAUUUCAUCUCAUUUUUUCUUAUUAAUAGACAAAGUUUUAGAGAUUAAUUUUUCUUUUGACAUAUAUAGGAAUCAUAUUCAAUUUUGUCAACACCAGAGGAGAGAAGGUUGUAUGAUUGGAGUUUGGUAAGGAGUGAAGCACCGGAUGAUUACAAAUGGCCAUUUGAGGUUGAUCCAACUCCGCCCUCUACGGGGACUCCUCCUCCUCAGGUACUGCUUUUUUCCCCAUCACUUAAUUAAUACUCCCUCCGUCUCACAAAUAAUGAUUUAGUUUAACUUGACACGAAAUUUAAAAAAAUAAAGAAGACUUUUGAAUCUUGUGGUCUUAAAUUAAAGUUAUGUCAAAUGUACAAAAUUACCUUUUAAUUUUGUGGCCUUAAACAUGCUACGUGGAAAGCUGAAAUUAAAAUGUUACCAAAAAAAGAAAUAGAUCAUUUUUUUUUGAAACAGAAUAAAAAGGAAAGAAAGUCAUUCUUUUUUAAAUGGAGGGAGUAAUUAUUAUAUCAAAACAUCACUUUGAAAUUAUUUUUAAAAAAAAGAGUCUAUUGGGAUAAUAUUUUCUUGGUUACUUACCAAACACUAGAAAAUAAGUAAGAUAACAUUUUCACCAAGCAUACUGUAAGUUAAUUAUUCCUUCAGUUAGACCAGAAAAUGAUUAUAACUUGAGUUAUCAAUAAUACUUUACGUUUUUUAAUUGUAUAAAAACAUAAUUACAGGAGCCAGAAGAUGUGGAACCAACAAUAUUAGUGGGAUAUUUCUUUUUAGGUUGGUUUGUACUAGCUGCCGUGUUAUCAAUUGCCCUUAAUCUCUAGAAAGAAAAUUAUAUAUGUUUAUCAUAUAAUAAGAUAUUCAUUUUCGUGUAACAUAUAUACACUUAAACCUUCAAUUGUUGCAUUUUUAUGAAAUUCUAUGUAAAUUUACCUUUUUUCUUCCAACGCACACCAGGGGAUUUUUCACAUUCUCUUUCUCCAGGGGAGUUCUAAUCUUCCAAUUAGGAUCCCCUCAUUGUUAGUAGUUUUAAAUUUAUACCUAUAGCUUAGUAGAUGGACUUAAUAUUUGGAAUAAGGCGAGAACUAAGUAGUAUGCAAUUAUUUACUAGUAUUAACUAUUAACUACUUAUUUCCAAAGAAAAGUGAAAGUUUGGGGGGGAUUUGAACGAUUUGUAGUAUCAAACUAUCAAUUAAUAACAUGUAACUUUCAACAAGGUUAAUUUAAACUGAUAAUUUAUAGAAAGAGAAAUCAAGAUUGUAUUCACCAAAAGAUUGUAUGAAUUAUGUUGGGUAAAUAGAAAAUCCCAUCUGGUAAUGCUAGUAUAUCAGCUUAUCAAUCUUAUACUACAUUUAAUCGUUUCUGAACCAAAUUGAAUGCAUGCCACUUUUAUUCUUUCGAAAGUGUUACCUCAAAUCAGUGACAUUUACUCAAAGUUGGUUAAUCAUAGGCAAGCUUUUAUAUCUCAAAUCUUCGUUACUAGCUCUUUUCCUAUGUUUUGCACAUUAUAACUCAAAUAAGUAAAAUUAAAGAUUCUAAUGUUUGCAACCAUUAGAAAUCAGUUAAGAUGAAAGAACUUAUAAUGUAUACAAUCAUAAUACAUGUUUUAUUUCGUAAAUAUCCUUUGUUUAGGUCAAGUCGUCAUGGAUUUCAAAACCCGAGGUUUAGCCAGUCACGCAAACUCUUGAUAAAACUUGUUCAAGUGUACAUUGUUCUUCACUAUAAACCAAGAUGAUAGUAGUAUUUAUAGUCCUGGAAAAUUUGGAAUUUAAAAUAAAAAAGCUGGUCCAUUGCUGACAGCUCAUCACAAGUGUGACGAUCCGCCGCUUACACUAUCAUCCCUUAACAAUAACUUGAUUAGAAUCUAUAUUAAAGUAUUAGAUUGUUUUACAUAGCUUACAUUGGAAGCUCUCUUGUUAACUUAUGGCACCAAUGCAUAGUGCAGUGUGGAGUAAUCAUCAGAUUUUAUUUGUUGUUGCAGAAAUGCAGAAUUUAUUUUGGCAUCAUACCAGUAUUUUUCAAUCUUUUCUCCUUCUCCUUUCUUUCUAAACUAGCAGAAUCAUAGGACAUCAAAAGGGGUUCAUGCGACCUGGUAUACAAGAGGCUGAACUAAGAAAUAUAGACGUAGAACAUAGAUAUAGAAUGACAUAUUUCAGCAGGAAUGAGCAGAUUUCUAGAACAGAGAUAAUAUUCCAUUCCAGUAUUGUUUCUAAUGAAGACAAUUAAACUCAACAACCAUACAAAGAAAUAGAAUCGUGACAAUGUUAUUCAGUUGAGGCUUUUGGAUAUCAAUGUUUAGAAUCACCUCAGCGGGUCUUGGUCUUCUGCUCGUGGACGUUGACAGCAGCACAUAUUUUCUUCCAGCAGUGGAUCACUAUGAGACUUGGUAUCCAAACCCAGAAAUGAUUUGCAAAGACAUAGUAAGCGUAGUAAUAGAAGGGGCUUGUAGAAAAAUUGUCGCCUUCCAAGACAGCUGUUAUGAAGUAUAUAGCCGUGCCAUAGAGCUGCCCCAAACAAAUGGAUAGUUGAAGUACGUGCCUGUAUGCCUUCUUAGUAGCUAUAGCAUACCUGCCAAUGCCAAAAGAACAAUGAGGUCAAACUUGAAUACAUCUUCCUGCCCCGUCCAUAUACUUUUACUAAUAAAGGAUUUAGUCAAAAUGAUCCCAGCAUCAAAUCCCGCAUACAAUAUUUGGUGGAUAGAGUUACCUGGUACAUGUGGUACAUGAGCUACUGAGAGGUAGCAGGUACCACAUGAAAUUAGUAAAGAUGCAUGCAAGUUGACUCGACCACCACAGUUAUCCAAGAAAAACAAUCCGCAUAAUUAAAUGCAGCAUUUGGAUGGUUGUAUAAGAACAAAUAAUCCCCAAUAAUCUAAUGUAGUGUUUGGUUGGCGCUAUAAAAAAAAUACCGACAUUAAAUUACACGAGAAUUAACAUGUUAUUUUAUGCGGGAUAAAGUGUGGAAUAAGAACAGUGGAUUAGCAUUACGAGGAGAGAAAUACCCUUAAAAUAAGUAACUGUUACAUUAUAUUCCUUGUAUUAUUACUUUAUCAAAAUUAUAUUCCCUGUAUAUUAUUAUUAGUCAAGUUAUUCCUUGUAUAAUUAAUACUCACUGCAAUACAAUCCUUCAUUUUUAUUUCCCGCAUAACAUACGGUACAUAACAAGUCCAUGCAUAACUAGAAUGUGAACAAGCAACCCCUUAGGAUAAGCACAUUGAUUCUGACAGUCUCAAGGUGCAUGACAAGUUAAUAUCGCUUGAGAAUGAUACUUACACUGCAAGAAGGCAUGCUGGCCCCUCUAUGACAGCUGUGACCCCUUCAACACUGAGAACUGCAGCAUCUCGGCCUACGUAUCUUGAAUCACCUUUGCUGUAUUCUUUCCCUGCAAUAUAUUGUUUGUGUUGGUACUUUUAUAGGCCAAAUUAGAAACAUAUCCUAAUACAAAUGAACUGUUCUUGUUUGUAAGAAGACUUUGCUAAAUUGAGACUUACAGACUUCAGCAAGGUAAACAGGACUAGUCUUUUGGUAGAAAUCUGGAGUAAAAACGAAAUAUCCCUCAAGGACCAUGUGGGUUAGGCCCGUGAAAAUCCACCAGCACAUGAGCACCCUGUCAGUCUUUGAUAAUUUAGGAACAAACCCUAGCAAGGAAAAGAAGGAGAAAUGAAGUUAGAGAACAAAACAUGGCCACAAUGGAGAAUGAAAAAGAUGGACUUUGCAUAUAGAAAUUUAUAACACUAAUGCAGCUGAAAAUUAUGUAGUAUAGAACUAGAUAGAAAAGACCAACAUGAUAGUAAUUUAUGUCCUCAUUUAUCAUUCACUACUAAACUUUGAGUACAUGAAACUAACACUUAGGGGCUGCAUGAGCUUAAUUGAGAAGUGAAAUAAUUGUCAAGACUGCUUGAAGUCCUGACUGAGGCAUAGGAUAAGCUGUACAACUCGACGUUUUAGGGUUCAAUAUCUUCUUUAAUCCCAUUCACAAGUCAGUAAAGUUGUGGGUUGACAUUAACAUCAAACUAGAUUCUCUUUUUUAGGGUCAAGACUGCCUGCAAUUACAACAACAUACCCAUCGUAAUCCCACAAGUGGGAUAUGGGGAAGGUAGGAUGUAAGAAGACCUUAUCCCUAUUGUAGGGUAGAGAUGCCGAUUCGGAUAGACCCUCGGCUCAAAAGAAGUGUAAUCAGGAUUGAAAGGAAAAUAAUGACAGCAAAAUAGCAAGACUAACAAAGCAAAUGAAGCAAUAGGUAGUAGUAAAAAUGAAGAAUAAGAUACUAAGCGAAUUACUAUAUAAGGAGAAGAUGAGAAGAGGAGAAUAAAUCAGUCAUGCAAUAAUCAUUGAAUAAUUACCUGAGAAUAUCCACAUGAACACCACAACCAGUAAGGAUGAGAUGCCAUAUACACCAACAAUUUCUGACUGUGAGAGGAAUAGGGGAACAAAACCAGGCAAUUUUAGAUCAUGCGGAACGUAGGGGUGAGCUUCUCCCUGGCUUGCCAUUUUUUCUCAGUGCCUGACUUAAGGACCCUUUCCUGUGAUCUGCAAUUCACAGAAAGAACAAAGUCCAUACAUUAGAGAAGGUGUUACUCAAUGAGCUACUCCACAAUUUUCACAUUCCCAUCUAACUUCACUUGUAAGUAUAAGUUAUACUCUAAUUUGACGAUCUAUCAAAAAUCAGACGGAAACUACCCUACAGCUAUUAAACUUUUUUUAAGGAAUCGGGGCACAAAAGGCAAAUACAAGAAUCAUAGUGAAAUCAGUGGAAGUGAUCAAUCAACUACGCCUCAACUACAAAAUAGUUGGACUUGACUAUGUGAAACCAUUGUAUCCGUUCCAUUCUUUUCAACUGCAUAUUAUUCUGAUGAACAAGUCAAAUUAGGGAUUCUCCAAUGUGUAUGGUAAAGGAAGAAAACAAUUUCCUAGAAAGUAUUUCACUAAAGAAGUUAUUGGGCAACACUUCUCAUGGAAAAAAUACCAUAAAAAAGAUUCACCUAUGGCAUAAAUAAAAUCAUCUUUUAACAAAUAUCGCAACUCUUAAUCCACAUACUUGCUACAAACAACACUUGAACAUUAUUUUCAAUAAUUAAGAAAUUUCAUCAAAUUCCCAAAACAAAACAUAAUUUAAUUGUCACAAUUAUAACAUGUUUGGCCAAACUUCAAAAUAACUUAUUUUGAAAAGUGUUUUCCAAGAAAAGUACUUUUGGUGAGGAACAAUUUGUGUUUGGCUAAUAAAAUUAAAAAACAUUUUUGAGCAACAAUUAGUGUUUGACCAAGUCAUCAGUUACUCCUCAAAAACACUUAUUUUCUCCCAAAAGCUUGGCCAAACACUUCACUUUUUUCAAAUAAACACUUAUGGUCUCCCAAAAACAUGGUCAAACAAGCUAUUAACAUCAAUGCUUAAUUAAUAUUUUCCACUCACCAACCAAGCAUCUGAAAAACUUUUCGAGGAAAUAAUUUUCAAAACAUUUCCCUUAAUACCAAACACAACUAGGUCUCUAAAUCAGGAAAACUAAUGCUGGUUAAAAAUUAAAAAGAAUGAGUAAAGUUUUCAAAACCCAUAGAAUCUAAAGAUGAAAAUUAAGGUCAAAAUCUCUAAAAUCACAAUUCCCACACAAUGACAGAAAACUAGAUCCCUUUUUCACUUUCAAGCAAAUGUAAGCAUAAAACAGAAGUACAAACAAAACAGACUAGUAAUUACCCUAAAGGAUGAGACUUUCACACUUCUCAGUCACUUUUAUUCACAUAUGAACAUUAUAAUAACUAUUAAAUCCAAAAUUUACAUAAUUCCUGAAACAUGCAUAUAAAGACAUGAACUUUAGCAUCCCAUUUGGUUAAAUCAUUUAAAUAGCUCAAAAAAUCCAUUAAAAUACAGAAAAUUACAAAAGGGUAACUCUUAAGAAUUUUUCAGAUCAGUGAGAGUUGACUUACCGGCGAUGAAGAAGAAAAGGGAGAGAGUAGAGAAGCUGAGAGAGUAGAGCACUGAAAUACAAAUAAGUAAAGAUUUGGAGUCACGUGAGAAAGGCACGUGACUCUCACAGUUCUGUUUGGAUGGUAAUGGGAAAUAAUUUUCUUUAGAAAUUUUUUAUAAAUUAUUUUUCUUUUUUUAUGGAAAUUAAUUUUAUAACAUCAUCUUGUUAUAACCGCUAAAAAAAUAGUAUUUGAACAAAUAAAAUUGUUAUAAAGAAGUUCUGCUGUAUAGUUUAAAGUUAUAUUGUUGUGAAAGUAAGAGAAUGGUUGGUGGGACAAGGGAGUGCAUACAAAGCCGAUUUUGGGACCAUUAUUACUUAAUUCACUUUUUAUAUUCGAAAUUUAAGCCUCGUUUUUUCAAUUUUUGCAAAAAAAAUUAAAAUCGUAACUAAAAUAUCAACGACAAAUUCUAUCGAAUUCAAUAAUUUUGAUUACUAUAUUAAAAA